RNAcentral lists this long non-coding RNA (228 nucleotides) under Pan troglodytes (chimpanzee). RNAcentral describes it as "long non-coding RNA NONPTRT015871". The record is from RNAcentral. Lineage: Eukaryota; Metazoa; Chordata; Mammalia; Primates; Hominidae.
GUAAGCGGAAAUGUCUAGGUCUUUGUCACUCCAUCUUGCAUCAUCUGGGGACCAUCCUGGAAAGAGUGUGGCCUUUGCUCAAGAGAUGAGACUGACCGUGUAACAGCAAACAGCUACAUAAUGCCGCUAGCUACACUCUUAGAACCUGGACUAUGAAGAAGCUUCUUGAAGGAAGAUCUGAGUGUUCUAUAUCCAUGUCUGCCAUACAUGUUUAUCAUGAAAUUAAUA